RNAcentral lists this ribosomal RNA (1075 nucleotides) under Plasmodium coatneyi. RNAcentral describes it as "SSU rRNA". It matches the Rfam family "Eukaryotic small subunit ribosomal RNA", at positions 604 to 1460 of the family's 1831-position model. The record is from RNAcentral. Lineage: Eukaryota; Apicomplexa; Aconoidasida; Haemosporida; Plasmodiidae.
UUAAAAUUGUUGCAGUUAAAACGCUCGUAGUUGAAUUUCAAAGGAUCGAUAUUUUAAGUAACGCUUUUAGCUUAAAUCCACAUAACAGACACUUCGUGUCGACUUUGUGCGCAUUUUCGCUAUUAUGUGUUCUUUUAAUUAAAAUGAUUCUUUUUAAAUCUCUAAUAUUUGCUUCGGCAUUUUUGGGGAUUUGUUACUUUGAGUAAAUUAGAGUGUUCAAAGCAAACAGAUAUAGCAUUUGUGCGUUUGAAUACUACAGCAUGGAAUAACAAAAUUGAACAAGUCAAAAUUUUUGUUCUUUUUUCUUAUUUUGGCUUAGUUACGAUUAAUAGGAGUAGCUUGGGGGCAUUUGUAUUCAGAUGUCAGAGGUGAAAUUCUUAGAUUUUCUGGAGACAAACAACUGCGAAAGCAUUUGCCUAAAAUACUUCCAUUAAUCAAGAACGAAAGUUAAGGGAGUGAAGACGAUCAGAUACCGUCGUAAUCUUAACCAUAAACUAUGCCGACUAGGCUUUGGAUGAAAGAUUUUAAAAUAAGAGUUUUCCUUUCCCUUCGGGGUUAGGACUCUUAGAUUGCUUCCUUCAGUGCCUUAUGAGAAAUCAAAGUCUUUGGGUUCUGGGGCGAGUAUUCGCGCAAGCGAGAAAGUUAAAAGAAUUGACGGAAGGGCACCACCAGGCGUGGAGCUUGCGGCUUAAUUUGACUCAACACGGGAAAACUCACUAGUUUAAGACAAGAGUAGGAUUGACAGAUUAAUAGCUCUUUCUUGAUUUCUUGGAUGGUGAUGCAUGGCCGUUUUUAGUUCGUGAAUAUGAUUUGUCUGGUUAAUUCCGAUAACGAACGAGAUCUUAACCUGCUAAUUAGCGGCAAAUACGAUAUAUUCUUCUGUGGAAUUGAAUAUGGUGGAUUUGCUAAAUUUUGAAGAAAAUAUUGGAAUUACUAACCGUUUUUCCUUUCCCUUUUCUACUUAAUUUACUUAUCCUACUAUUUCUUUUUCGCAUUUGAAUGUAUUUGCUUGAUUGUAAAGCUUCUUAGAGGAACGAUGUGUGUCUAACACAAGGAAGUUUAAGGCAACAACAGG